Molecule: ribosomal RNA, 773 nt
Filed under: Arthrobacter sp. 48 TDS
Lineage: Bacteria; Bacillati; Actinomycetota; Actinomycetes; Micrococcales; Micrococcaceae
Description: bacterial SSU rRNA
Rfam family: Bacterial small subunit ribosomal RNA
Source: RNAcentral
AGCGUUGUCCGGAAUUAUUGGGCGUAAAGCGCGCGCAGGCGGCCUUUUAAGUCUGAUGUGAAAGCCCCCGGCUCAACCGGGGAGGGUCAUUGGAAACUGGAAGGCUUGAGUGCAGAAGAGAAGAGCGGAAUUCCACGUGUAGCGGUGAAAUGCGUAGAGAUGUGGAGGAACACCAGUGGCGAAGGCGGCUCUUUGGUCUGUAACUGACGCUGAGGCGCGAAAGCGUGGGGAGCGAACAGGAUUAGAUACCCUGGUAGUCCACGCCGUAAACGAUGAGUGCUAAGUGUUGGGGGGUUUCCGCCCCUCAGUGCUGCAGCUAACGCAUUAAGCACUCCGCCUGGGGAGUACGGCCGCAAGGCUGAAACUCAAAGGAAUUGACGGGGGCCCGCACAAGCGGUGGAGCAUGUGGUUUAAUUCGAAGCAACGCGAAGAACCUUACCAGGUCUUGACAUCCCGCUGACCGCCCUGGAGACAGGGCUUCCCCUUCGGGGGCAGCGGUGACAGGUGGUGCAUGGUUGUCGUCAGCUCGUGUCGUGAGAUGUUGGGUUAAGUCCCGCAACGAGCGCAACCCUUGAUCUUAGUUGCCAGCAUUCAGUUGGGCACUCUAAGGUGACUGCCGGUGACAAACCGGAGGAAGGUGGGGAUGACGUCAAAUCAUCAUGCCCCUUAUGACCUGGGCUACACACGUGCUACAAUGGAUGGUACAAAGGGCUGCAAGNCCGCGAGGUUUAGCCAAUCCCAUANAACCAUUCUCAAUUCGGAUUGCAGNCUGC